GCGGGAGUAGCUCAGGUUGGUAGAGCAUUGGCCUUCCAAGCCAAUUGUCGCGGGUUCGAACCCCGUCUCCCGCU
Molecule: transfer RNA, 74 nt
Filed under: Candidatus Poribacteria bacterium
Lineage: Bacteria; Candidatus Poribacteria
Description: tRNA-Gly
Rfam family: tRNA
About the family: Transfer RNA (tRNA) molecules are approximately 80 nucleotides in length. Their secondary structure includes four short double-helical elements and three loops (D, anti-codon, and T loops).
Source: RNAcentral